RNAcentral lists this transfer RNA (71 nucleotides) under Paenibacillus oryzae. It matches the Rfam family "tRNA". Rfam says of the family: Transfer RNA (tRNA) molecules are approximately 80 nucleotides in length. Their secondary structure includes four short double-helical elements and three loops (D, anti-codon, and T loops). Lineage: Bacteria; Bacillati; Bacillota; Bacilli; Caryophanales; Paenibacillaceae. The record is from Rfam by way of RNAcentral.
GGAGGUAUAGCCAAAUGGUAAGGCGAGGGUCUGCAGAACCCUGAUUUCUGGUUCAAAUCCGGAUACCUCCU